RNAcentral lists this small RNA (127 nucleotides) under Marmota monax (woodchuck). The record is from RNAcentral. Lineage: Eukaryota; Metazoa; Chordata; Mammalia; Rodentia; Sciuridae.
GCUAGGUGUGGUGGCUCAUGCCUGUAAUCCCAGUGAUUUGGGAGGCUGAGGCAGGAGGACCACAGGUUUGAAGACAGCCUCAUCAAUUUAGUGAGGCUAUAAGCAACCUAGUAAGACCCUGUUUCAA